CAGCAGCCGCGGUAAUACAGAGGGUGCAAGCGUUAAUCGGAAUUACUGGGCGUAAAGCGCGCGUAGGUGGUUUGUUAAGUUGGAUGUGAAAGCCCUGAGCUUAACUUAGGAAUUGCAUUCGAUACUGGGAAGCUAGAGUAUGGGAGAGGAUGGUAGAAUUCCAGGUGUAGCGGUGAAAUGCGUAGAGAUCUGGAGGAAUACCGAUGGCGAAGGCAGCCAUCUGGCCUAAUACUGACGCUGAGGUACGAAAGCAUGGGGAGCAAACAGGAUUAGAUACCCGAGUAGUCCCUGUCUCUUAUAC
This 301-nucleotide ribosomal RNA is filed under the name uncultured bacterium. RNAcentral's name for it is "partial 16S ribosomal RNA". It matches the Rfam family "Bacterial small subunit ribosomal RNA", at positions 509 to 807 of the family's 1533-position model. The record is from RNAcentral.